CAAUAAGUGUUUUAUGGCACUUUUUGUAGAAGUUCUUGUGAGGUUUUGGUUGUGGACUUAGGUCUGCAGUUGAUUCUUUGCGAGUCUUCUAUGUCUUACAAACUCUAUUAGUAUGUUUUAGAAUGUCUUUUAUUGGGACUUCAUUGGCCCUUUAAACUUUAUA
Molecule: unclassified non-coding RNA, 163 nt
Filed under: uncultured Marasmius
Lineage: Eukaryota; Fungi; Basidiomycota; Agaricomycetes; Agaricales; Tricholomataceae
Description: sequence contains ITS1
Source: RNAcentral